GCGCGGGGGCAGUCCGGCGGCGGGAAGGACCGGCAGAGCGACACGCUUCCUGGAACCUCAGCGGCCAUGGCCGAGCACGCCGGUCGCCGCUGCUGCCUGGGCUGGGACUUCAGCACGCAGCAGGUAAAAGUUGUUGCAGUUGAUGCAGAGCUGAAUGUCUUCUAUGAGGACAGUGUGCAUUUUGACAGAGACCUUCAAGAAUUUGGGACUCAGGGUGGAGUUCAUGUUCACGAGGAUGGGCUGACAGUGACUUCUCCAGUCCUGAUGUGGGUCCAGGCUUUGGAUAUCAUCUUGGAGAAGAUGAAGGCUUCGGGCUUUGACUUCUCUCAAGUCCUCGCCUUGUCUGGGGCGGGCCAGCAACAUGGAAGCGUGUACUGGAAGGCUGGGGCCAGCCAGGUUCUGGCAAGCUUGUCACCGGACCUCCUGUUGCACGAGCAGCUGCAGACAUCCUGCUGUCUGGACAGAGGCUCAGGUGCUAACAGCCCACAUCACACUGGUCCCCUCCAGCCCAGCAGGACUCUGUUGCGAGUUCCCCCCUCAGGAAUCUCCUCCUGGGACGUGAUGCCUCCCGGUGAUGCUGGGAAGGCCUGUUUCUCCAUCAGUGACUGCCCGGUGUGGAUGGACUCCAGCACCACAGCCCAGUGCCACCAGCUGGAGGCCACCGUGGGUGGGGCCCAGGCUCUCAGCUGCCUCACCGGGUCCCGUGCCUAUGAGCGAUUUACAGGAAACCAAAUUGCAAAGCUUUACCAGCAGAACCCCGAGGCCUACUCACACACAGAGAGAAUUUCCUUGGUCAGUAGUUUUGCUGCUUCUCUGUUCCUUGGGUCUCACUCUCCUAUUGACUACAGUGAUGGUUCUGGAAUGAACUUGUUGCGGAUCCAGGAUAAAGUCUGGUCGCAGGCUUGCCUUGGUGCCUGUGCACCUCAUCUAGAGGAGAAGCUCGGCCUGCCAGUGCCGUCAUGCUCGGUUGUGGGGGCCAUUUCUUCCUACUUCGUCCAGCGCUAUGGGUUCCCUCCAGGAUGCAAGGUGGUGGCCUUCACUGGGGACAACCCAGCGUCGCUGGCAGGCAUGAGGCUGGAGGAAGGUGACAUUGCGGUCAGCCUGGGCACCAGUGACACCCUAUUUCUCUGGCUCCAGGAGCCCACGCCCACCCUGGAAGGCCACAUCUUCUGCAACCCGGUUGACCCCCAGCACUACAUGGCGCUCCUGUGCUUUAAAAAUGGCUCCCUCAUGAGAGAGAAGAUCCGCGAUGAGUUGGCUUCCAGUUCCUGGAGCGAGUUCUCUAAGGCGCUGCAGUCCACAGAGAUUGGGAACUGCGGAAACCUGGGUUUUUAUUUUGAUGUAAUGGAGAUCACCCCUGAAAUUAUUGGGCGUCAUAGGUUUAGUGCAGAAAACCAUGAGGUCUCAGCAUUCCCCUGGGACGUGGAGAUUCGAGCACUGAUCGAAGGACAGUUCAUGGCCAAGAAGAUCCAUGCCGAGGGCCUGGGCUAUCGAGUCAUGCCUAAGACAAAGAUUUUGGCCACCGGAGGAGCAUCUCACAACAGAGACAUCUUGCAGGUGCUGGCAGAUGUGUUUGGCACCCCAGUGUAUGUCAUAGACACAGCCAACUCAGCCUGUGUGGGCUCUGCUUACCGAGCUUUCCAUGGCCUUGCAGCUGGAACAGAUGUGCCCUUUUCAGAGGUUGUGAAGUUAGCCCCAAAUCCCAGAUUAGCUGCUGCCCCAACCCCAGGAGCGUCUCAGGUAAGAGACCAUCAGAGUUCAUUCGUGGCAUUUGCAUCGUGAAAAUCAACUACGUUCUUUUUUCCAAAAGGUAAGUUUUUCUUUAUCACCUACAUUAUAGUUGAUGUGCUCAACUAAAGGGGAAAUCUACUUUUUUUUUAAUUGUCAAGGAAACAGAGCAAAAGAAGACAGGUUGUCUCUGAGAUUCAGAGAUACGGCUGAUCUUAUAGCCCCAGGGAUCAGAUGGCUCACUGGGCAUAUCUUCCUUGCUCAGAUGCCUUGGGGUGCGCCCUUCUAAUUCACAGGGUUACAGAGGCCACUGAAAGACUCUGUCACUUAAGCAUAAGACGUGCUGGGUUUCUACCAUUCAGAUCUGAAAUCUGGAUCCAAGAAAACUGUGUGUUCACUCAGUCAGAGGGAAGGCAGACCCCACUUGUUACAGGUUGGGUUCCCUGGAACGCAGACCCUGAGUUGUUGAUUAGGAUACAGGAGAUUUAUUAGGGGGCACUCUUGGGAUCUGCAUCUGUUGAAGGAAAAAGGAAGAGGCAGGGCUGGGCAGAGGCAGGAAGUGAGCUGCAGUGCGAUCUCAGUGGAGCCCUCAGUCAAUCCUACAGGAAGUUCUGAAGCUGGGAUGACUCUGGAGUUUUACCCAGUUGUGGUGAGGGGGACGGGCCUUUAUACCCCUUGUCAAUCAGUUAUUGCCUGCAGGCCACCCCAGGAUGGGGUAAGGCAGCUCUCUAUAGCCAAAGCAAUCCACAAAGGAGGCUGCCAGCUGAGGGCUGAGAGAAUAAGUUCUCUGUUCCUGCAGGGCAAUCCGGGUGGUAUGCCAUAGCAUCCAUUUCACCACCCUUCCUGUUUGCACAAGGUUCUUGCAGUCCAGGAGCAGGGGGUGACACAGACAGAGGACUUUAUUACUCACAGUACAGCAGGCAGCAUAAGCUUCACGUUUGCAUCAGUUUUCCUUGGCCCCGAAGUGCCAUCGGGCGGUGUGGAGUGGACCCAGGUGGAUACUGUGCACACACUGUGUCUGUGUCACAAAUGAGGGACCCUGCGCAUUAUAAAGGAGCUGCGAGCAAACCUGUCCAAAGGACACAUCUUUAUCAUCCUGGUCAGCAAACAAAUUUUCCCUCUCCCUAUCUUCCAAGGCUGUUUGCUAUACAAACACCCUUGAAAAGAUAGCCUGGAACAAAAGCUGUCACAAGACAUAUAGAAACACCCUGGAGAAUUGUCUCACAGCUUAUCUUGGAAGCAGAAGCUCAUGCUAUCCAGGUGACUAGAUAACCCACACACAUGGGUCUGCCCAGGCUUCUAUUACUUUCUGUUGUGUGCCCUUCUGUUUAAGAGGGAGUUCAAUGAAGUAGAAAGAUCCUACCUUGAGAUAAAGGGCCUUUGGGUUCUGAUUCUUAUCGUGCCUCUCCCUCUCCGUGUGACCUUCACAUGACCUUGAGCGGCACUCCUCAUCUCUGAACCUCUGUUUCUUCAUCUGGGAAGUGGGGACAUCUGUCUGGCCUACUUUUAACCUGCUAAUUGUGAGGGUUAAAGACAAUCCUUGCCUAUCAUGGCUUUAUUUAUUUUUUUUAUUUUUUUGGCCACGCCUCGCAGCAUGCGGGAUCUUAAUUAGCUCCCCAACCAGGGAUUGAACCUGCGACCCCUGCAGUGGAAGCUCGAAGUCUUAACCAUUGGACCACCAGGGAAGUCCCUAUCAUGGCUUUACUAUACAACAGGAAGUCUGACGGUGUUGCCAGGUCUACGAGGCCCUCCUCCAGCGGUAUGCCAUGCUUGAGCAGAGAAUCCUGACCCAGACCCGGGGGCCUCCGGAGUGAAUUCCACAGGCCCAGCCUCACUGAUUCCACU
Delphinapterus leucas (beluga whale) is the source of this 3573-nucleotide non-coding RNA. Lineage: Eukaryota; Metazoa; Chordata; Mammalia; Artiodactyla; Monodontidae. The record is from RefSeq and is a predicted model, not a curated record.